Molecule: long non-coding RNA, 395 nt
Filed under: Androctonus crassicauda
Lineage: Eukaryota; Metazoa; Arthropoda; Arachnida; Scorpiones; Buthidae
Source: RNAcentral
AUUUUAACAUCAAGUAAAGAAGUUAUCGGAACUCCAACUAGAUGGUUAGAAACAUUUGAAGCAGAAUUACUAAUCAAUAUAUAAUGUGUUCGUCAUAUAACAGAAUCACUGCAGUUUUUGAUAAUUCUCCGCUAUCUCAUUAUAGAUUAUGGCGGGCAUUUUGAUUAAACAGGGUCCUGGGCUGCAGCCCAUAAAGACCAUGCCUAAAUCCGCCCGUCUCUAUAGCUCUCAAUAUGCAAUCUGUUUCAAGUUCUUCUGUUUCACAAUAUUCUUCAUAGUGUUGGGGCUGAUACUGAUAGUCGCGAUCAGAUAUCAAGAUAUUGAUGAACCCGACAUCUUCUAUACAGCUGCUGUGUACGAACACGUGUCGAAAGCUGAUCCCAAAAAGGUUACAA